Molecule: long non-coding RNA, 315 nt
Organism: Beta vulgaris subsp. vulgaris (sugar beet)
Lineage: Eukaryota; Viridiplantae; Streptophyta; Magnoliopsida; Caryophyllales; Amaranthaceae
Exons: 3
Source: RefSeq, a predicted model, not a curated record
CGAUAAAGUCGGCAAAGAGGGUGGUGUUAGUACGGCAUGGGCAGAGUACAUGGAAUGCGGAGGGAAGAAUUCAAGGGAGCUCCAAUUUCUUAGUUUUAACUACUAAAGGUGAAUCUCAGGCUGAAACUUCUCGUCAAAUGCUUCUUGAUGAUUCCUUUGACGUCUGCUUCACUAGUCCCCUGGCUAGAUCAAAGCGAACUGCUGAAAUUAUCUGGGGUAACCGUAAGGAGCCAAUGAUCCCAAAUUUCGACCUGAGGGAAAUAGAUUUGUAUUCUUUUCAAGGGCUCUUGAAACAUGAGGGGAAGGAGAAAUUUG